This 270-nucleotide ribosomal RNA is filed under the name uncultured archaeon. RNAcentral describes it as "partial 16S ribosomal RNA". It matches the Rfam family "Archaeal small subunit ribosomal RNA", at positions 477 to 747 of the family's 1478-position model. The record is from RNAcentral.
CUGCAGCCCGAGUGGUGAUCGAUUUUAUUGAGCCUAAAGCGUCCGUAGCCGGACUAGUAAACCCUUGGGUAAAUUGGGCAGCUUAACUGUCCAAAUUCCGAGGGGACUGCUAGUCUUGGGACCGGGAGAGGUCAGAGGUACUCAAGGGGUAGGGGCUAAAUCCUGUAAUCCUUUGGGGACCACCAGUGGCUAAGGCGUCUGACUAGAACGGAUCCGACGGUAAGGGACGAAACCCUGGGGCGCGAACCGGAUUAGAUACCCGAGUAGUCC